RNAcentral lists this ribosomal RNA (429 nucleotides) under Bacteroidota bacterium. Its description in RNAcentral is "Bacteroidetes bacterium partial 16S ribosomal RNA". It matches the Rfam family "Bacterial small subunit ribosomal RNA", at positions 355 to 776 of the family's 1533-position model. Lineage: Bacteria; Pseudomonadati; Bacteroidota. The record is from RNAcentral.
UAGGGAAUCUUCCGCAAUGGACGCAAGUCUGACGGAGCAACGCCGCGUGAGUGAAGAAGGAUUUCGGUUCGUAAAACUCUGUUGUUAGAGAAGAACAGCGCAUAGAGUAACUGUUAUGCGUGUGACGGUAUCUAACCAGAAAGCCACGGCUAACUACGUGCCAGCAGCCGCGGUAAUACGUAGGUGGCAAGCGUUGUCCGGAUUUAUUGGGCGUAAAGCGAGCGCAGGCGGUCAAUUAAGUCUGAUGUGAAAGCCCCCGGCUCAACCGGGGAGGGUCAUUGGAAACUGGUUGGCUUGAGUGCAGAAGAGGAGAGUGGAAUUCCAUGUGUAGCGGUGAAAUGCGUAGAUAUAUGGAGGAACACCAGUGGCGAAGGCCACUCUCUGGUCUGUAACUGACGCUGAGGCUCGAAAGCGUGGGUAGCAAACAGG